This 447-nucleotide ribosomal RNA is filed under the name uncultured bacterium. Its description in RNAcentral is "bacterial SSU rRNA". It matches the Rfam family "Bacterial small subunit ribosomal RNA", at positions 331 to 793 of the family's 1533-position model. The record is from RNAcentral.
CCAGACUCCUACGGGAGGCAGCAGUGGGGAAUCUUGCGCAAUGGGCGGAAGCCUGACCCAACAACGCCGCGUGAAGGAAGAAGGCCCUCGGGUUGUAAACUUCUUUUAUCAGGGACGAAACAAAUGACGGUACCUGAUGAAUAAGCCACGGCUAACUACGUGCCAGCAGCCGCGGUAAUACGUAGGUGGCAAGCGUUAUCCGGAUUUACUGGGUGUAAAGGGCGUGUAGGCGGGUCUGCAAGUCAGAUGAGAAAUCUCAUGGCUCAACCAUGGAACUGCAUUUGAAACUGUAGAUCUUGAGUGAUGGAGAGGCAGGCGGAAUUCCGUGUGUAGCGGUGAAAUGCGUAGAUAUGCGGAGGAACGCCAGUGGCGAAGGCGGCCUGCUGGACAUUAACUGACGCUGAGGCGCGAAGCGUGGGGAGCAAACAGGAUGAGAUACCCUCGUAC